GAAAUGCGAUAAGUAGUGUGAAUUGCAUAAUUUUGUGAAUCAUCGAAUCUUUGAACGCAAAUUGCACUCCCUGGUAUUCCGGGGAGUAUGCCUGUUUGAGGGUCGUUAGAAUAAAAAUCGAGGCGUCGCUCUUUUUUUUAAGGGUGAUCGCGUCGGAAUUGAGCCGUCUUUCCAUGUCAAAGUGGCUUAAAAUUCAUCCAUCCGGUACGAUUAAAGCGUAUUUAAGAUCAAUUUUGAUUAAGAACGCGCGAUGACGUACCAUCUCAUGUAGUACGUUUGACCUGGCGUCGUCAGGAUCAUUCGUAUACGAUACUCAACUUUUGACCUCAAAUCAGGUAGGAAUACCCGCUGAACUUAA
This 358-nucleotide unclassified non-coding RNA is filed under the name uncultured Funneliformis. Its description in RNAcentral is "sequence contains ITS1". The stretch from base 1 to 105 matches the Rfam family "5.8S ribosomal RNA", at positions 50 to 154 of the family's 154-position model. Lineage: Eukaryota; Fungi; Glomeromycota; Glomeromycetes; Glomerales; Glomeraceae. The record is from RNAcentral.